AAUGAACGCUGGCGGCGUGCUUAACACAUGCAAGUCGAGCGAGAAAGCUCCUUCGGGAGUUAGUACAGCGGCGGACGAGUGAGUAACACGUGAGAACCUACCCUUUAGUGAAGAAUACCCGCGAGAAAUCGCGGUUAAUACUGCAUACGUCCCUUCGGGGAGAAAGGUGGCUUUAUGCUACCGCUAAUGGAUGGGCUUGCGGACUAUCAGCUUGUUGGUGGGGUAAAGCCCACAGGCUAUGACGGUUAACCGGCCUGAGAGGUGUACGGUCACGUUGGAACUGAGAUACGGUCCAGACUCCUACGGGAGGCUG
RNAcentral lists this ribosomal RNA (313 nucleotides) under uncultured bacterium. Its description in RNAcentral is "bacterial SSU rRNA". It matches the Rfam family "Bacterial small subunit ribosomal RNA", at positions 29 to 351 of the family's 1533-position model. The record is from RNAcentral.